RNAcentral lists this long non-coding RNA (496 nucleotides) under Salvator merianae (Argentine black and white tegu). Its description in RNAcentral is "lncRNA (ENSSMRG00000000970.1)". Lineage: Eukaryota; Metazoa; Chordata; Lepidosauria; Squamata; Teiidae. The record is from RNAcentral.
ACUUUAUCCUAUACUCAGCAUCUUCUGGCCUGGACUGCAGAUGGCAGGUAUUUAACACUGUUUGACAGGAGUGGAUGCCUACCAGACGGUUCACCUCUUCAGAACAGAGCCCAUUUUACUUCAUUACUCAAACAACUUCAUUGGAUUGCAGUUCAACUCUGAGCCACAUUUCAGAUUUUGUGGUCAUCAUAUAAUCUCCCUGCAUGGUUGCAUCUUGUUCUCUAGAAAAUAUCCUGGAAGCAGGCAUAUGAUUGCAGAAGAUAGACAUACAGAAGAUUGCAGAGCAAUGGGAGAUCCCACUGAAUGAAUGAAAACUUCAGUAACGCAGCCUUUGAACUCACCUUCUCAGUUCACAAUUAAAUUAAAAAACAAGCCUUUGAAAGAGAUGGCAUCUGAUUGGUGGAGGCCGUAGGCCAGGAAAGCAAACUGAUCAGCCUGCUAAAGAACUUUAUGACUGGCAGCAACAGUUCAGCCUGGGCUGCGUGGAAGAUAUGAA